ACCAGGGAGCUAGAAGAGGAGAGCUUCUUGCCUCUUCAGAGUUUCUCAGCCCCGACACUAAUCCAGCUUUGGUCUUUUCUUCUCUGGAGCCUAGUUCGCCACCCCCUCCCCCAACAUACACCCUCAAUUCUUCUCUCCCGCCCUGCCUCCCAUCCUCCACAACAGCCCUCAUUCCCCCCAAGGCUUCCCAACAGUUAUAUGGGGAGUGGGGAUGGAGAGGGACACAAGACCUCCUAUCACCUGAUUCCAGCUCCUUGGCCAGAGGAGCUGUAGCCACCUUCUCCUGAUUCAGUCUGUCUUGAAGCUGCUUAUCGAUCUGAUUUUCAAUAUCUGUCACCAUCUCUGAAAUAGAAGGCUGACAGACAACAGAAGGGACUUCCUGCCAGGGGUGGAGCUAUGAGCAGAAGGCCGAGAGAGUCCUCUCCUUCCUUGAAGACCAGGAAGAAGCGGUGAGACCCUCCUCUGGCUGACAGCAAACCUGUCACCCCAAGGAACCCUGGGGGAUGCGGAAGGAGAGGAUCAUGUGUAACCGAGGCCAGACGGCAGAGUGGUGCAAAUCUGUUGGUAUAAUACCAGGAUGCUCAACGCAUGGCAGAGAAUAUCUAUGCUAUGGAAUGCUGCACAGCCUUACAAAAUAUUGAAUGGAUCUGAGCCCACGGACGCACAACAGCCUCAGAAAUUGCUCAGUGAAAAAAGCAAGCCUUGGACUUCCUUGGUGGUCCGGUGGUUAGGACUCUGCCCUUCCAUUGCAGGGGGCACAGGUUCAGUGGAUCCCUGGUUGGGGAACUAAGAUCCCACAAAAAAACAAGUCUCACUUAUGGACGUGGUGCCAGGGGAGGAAGGAGAGGGGGAGACGUACUGAGUAAUAAAGAAACAUACAUUACCUUAUGUAAAAUAGAUAACCGGUGGAAAUUUGCUGUAUGACGCAGGAAACUCAAUUGUAACAACCUAGAGGGAUGGGAUGGGGAGGGAGGUGGGAGAGAGGUUCAAGAGGCAGGGGUCAUACGUAUACCUGUGGUGGAUUCAUGUUGAUAUUGGCGGAAACCAGCACAUACUGUAAAGCAAUUAUCCUUCAGUUAAAAAUAAAUAAAUUAAAAAAAAACAA
Molecule: long non-coding RNA, 1105 nt
Organism: Cervus elaphus (red deer)
Lineage: Eukaryota; Metazoa; Chordata; Mammalia; Artiodactyla; Cervidae
Exons: 3
Source: RefSeq, a predicted model, not a curated record